RNA transcript from Egretta garzetta (little egret), 3820 nucleotides. RefSeq lists it as uncharacterized. The record is from RefSeq and is a predicted model, not a curated record. The transcript is spliced from 14 exons. NCBI's taxonomy places the organism in Eukaryota, Metazoa, Chordata, Aves, Pelecaniformes, Ardeidae.
AGGAGACUUUGCUUAUUUGCUGAAUGCCAGGUUCGGUGGUUCUGGAAAUUUAAAGAACCUACAAGAGAGCAGAAGUUCAAGCAAGGAAGGGCAGCAAUAGGGAUGAAAUACUAUACCGUUACUGAGGCAGAGAUAAAGCAUCUUCCUUCACCCAUAACAUACUGAAGCAUGAAGAAAGAUGCUGAAAGCCAAGAUUUCUAAUUUGACCCUCCUACUUAGUGCUCCUGAACGUGAAGAUUCCGACUCGCUGAGGCUGUCUGCUUGUGGCAGGCAAAAUUAUCAUUCACCACGUUCACAGCUGAGAGUUUUGACGAGGUCGGUAACCAGUUCUAGCGCAGCAUGGCUCCUUCUCCCUCACCGCCAGCUUGGUAGCAGGAACAAGUGAGACUUCUGCUGCUUCCCUUCUAACGAGGUUUUCACAACCGUUCUGUUACCCUGUUGCUGCAGCCAACGUGGAUCCAAAUGCCGUGGCUACAAAGGCUUGUUACUUUCUCAUGCUGGAUCCCUCAAAUCCAAGAGCUACUUGGCAGUUUCCAAGGCAACCACCUGUGGAAUAAUUAAAAGGAUGAAGUGUUAGUGUGCCAGAUAUAAGGAAUUCUUGCCUGGAGAGAGCACUUCGUUUUCAUCUGUCUUGAAGAAUCAAUCUGCCAGCAAAGUUAAGUAGAAGCACAGAGAGAACUAUUUCAAGAAGAACGAUCCUAAACUAAGAAAGGAAGGGCAUUGAUCGCUCCAGAGGUAUUCAGCUGCAAGAAAGGAGACUCACCCCGAAUACUUAGGCACCCGAGUAAGGAAUCAAUCUGUACGGAGUCCUUCCUGGAGCUGAGAAAGGGAAUUCAGCCAUAUCCAACAGUGAGAGGCGUGCAUGUUGGUCGUCGUGGCUGUCGGUCAUGCUCAGUGUUUCUGUCCUGCGUACGUGGAAGAAAGAAAUGGUGACCGAGUUGUACAAGCAAACCAGGACAAUCGAAAAAGAUCUCGACAAGAGUACAGUUGUGUCAUGUCAGCAUAUUCAUUCCAGUUCAUGACUUGCAGAAGAAACGGGGCAGGUGCAGGAAGAUACUACAGGAGAGGAGCUUUACUAACUUGGAUCAAGGCCUGGGAUUACGCAAUGGAGCAGUGUAUUUUAGAUGCUACAGAGAAAGUUGAGAACAACGUGGUCGAAAGGAAGCAGCUAAAAGAGUCAGCGUUGCUGAGGGGCAGAGCGUAUCUAGGAGGGUGCUGCUCCCAUUUAGCGCUGGUGCCCGUGCAGUUCUGCGCGUGCUGCCCAACACCACCGUCCCACACCUGCUCAGAGCUCUUCUCCUGGCUCCUGCUUUACCCGUGGACUUCGGCAUGCAGAUAUUUCCUCUGCAAACAUCUAUUUGACUACUGCCUCUGUGCAGUCAAGUUCCAGGUCUGCACCUCCGUCCAUUGUUUUAUUUCUCUCCUGAGAUGUUUGCCUGACUUGCGCCCAUGUGAACUGAGAGCAAUCAGCUGCAGCUCACUACAGUUUCAACAGAAGGGAGCUUUUUCCCAUGCCAACCCUCUCUCCCAGACCGGUGCUUGGUCCAUGACAGGGACUCUGCCCUGCGACAGCAGCUUUCCAGUGCCUCCCUUGGAAAUCACUGGGAAGGUCCAUGUCCUUCUUGUGCUGAGGGCUCCAGAGCUGGACGCAGGGCUCCAGGGGAGGUCUCACCGAGCAGAGUAAAGGGGCAGAAUUUACCGCUUCGAAAGAUGGAGCCAAUUACAGGGAGGAGACUGAAAAGAUCACAAGUAAGCUGCAGCAAAAUGCAUAUGUGUAUGUUAGGUUUUUCUGAUAGAUAGGGACGUUAUUUUUCUAAUGUGACUAAAGUUGCUCAAUAGCUGUAGGAGAUAAAAGCAAAAACUACUCCGCAAAACAAAAUUCUUUUCAAAAUCCGACAGCCACUUUUCCCCAUCUCUUGCUUGGCUGUGUUUAAUAUGUGGAGCAUCAUGUUGUGGUCCGCUAAUUAGCUCUAUAAUUUUCAUGGCGUAUGCCAGCAUCAGUGUUUAUUAUUGAAGCACAAUGUCUGUUUUUAUCCUGAUGAUGCGUUUUGUCCUGUAACAGUAGUCAAAUGCACGAACUGAGUAGUAAAAGGGCUUCAGGAGUUAAGGAUCAGUAAAUACUCAAAGCUGUGUGUGGUCGGGUGGAUGUAAUCAAUUCCAGUGCUGCCAGAUGCUGGCUGGUUGAUCCAGAUGACAGAGAAGCAUCCUUCUUCGGCAUGCAGUGAAGAUCCCUCAUCUCUUCCAGUCUCUAGCACGACUUACAGGCCAUUAAGCAAUCCCUAAAACCUUUAGGUAAAUCUGUCAUCCCUCUUUCUUCAAAGCCAGAAGAAACAAAGCUCUUUAAUUAGGUUGGCAUAGCCUGGCCUAACCGAAAAGAUGCAGAAAUGGGGAGGGGAACGUGUAACCGCCGAGUGGUUGUGUUUCUUCUGCUGGUCGAGGAGAUGGGCAGUUCCUGGAGGGUCCGCGCUGUCCGUGGCUCUGGGAUGCUGCAGUGAUGGGAAGUGUUGGCUGGCUGUGUUCCUGUUUCAUUCUGUAAGAAAAUGAGGUGCUGAUCUCAUGAGAGCGCCUUGCAUAUGCCAAAAGAAGAACGUGUUGUUUGGGGGAAAACCUAUUUAUAAAUACAUACAAACUGAAAGGUAAAUAAUUUCUGUUUCCAGUAAAUGGAUAGAAUAUGCUCUCUGCAUUGGUUAUGUUUCCUGCUGUGACGUAUGUAGCGUAAAUAUAUCUGGUAUAUAUUGUGUUUGCCAGUGUGCAGGAAGCGGAUAUCUUUAAAAAUUCAAUUUCUGGUUCUUUGCUUCUUCAGCAUAACAAAGAAGGGUUGAAAGGUGGCUUGUUUUGCUCUGAAAAUAUUUCUGGCUUGGGUUUGGGGUUUUUUUGCGGUGUCAUACGUGAUGGGAGGAGUAAAGAAUAUUUGUCUUCAGCUAAAAGAUCCUCUGCAGUCUGUUUGUCAGGCGUGGGAAUUCAGCUGGGAUUAAAAACAAUCACACUUGGAGCGGUCUGAUUGAAUUUCCUAUCCCUCCUAAUUGCUAUCAGUUUUUUUCCGUGUGAUGACACUAAUUUCACUUCCUCUUCAGUAAUCGUGGAAUCUUUCAAAGUAGUCAGAAUUUGAGUUUGUAGGGUUCUUUUCCUGCUAUAAUACAGAAAAAUAAAUGUUUUUGUGCGUGUUUAUUUUUAUUUUUAAAAGCUACGUAAGAGCAAUUCUUUCCAGGUCACCUUUUACCCUUGAACAGCCAAACUAGCACCAUCAUUUACAUAGCGAUGUAAAGGAAUCCAGUGCUGAAGGUAAGCAGAGGGGCAGAGGAGAGCUACAAGCGCCUGGUUUUAAGAGCUCACUUCGUAGUGCCAUAAGUGGAUGCGAUACAAUGCGCGGCACAAGAAUAUAAACGGUAGGUGUAGUUUUUGAGUGCUUCAUGACAGGGGCAUUUCUGUUCAGCGCUGGGAUUAGCACUUCUAUUGAAACUUACAUAACAGCUACGUUGCCAGGGUGGUUUCUAAAAAUGAUGCUCAUCGCUUUCCAGAUUCCGAAAGCUUUAAGACAGAAGAAAUAUUUUAAACUGAAGAUUAUUAUUUUUUUUUUUUCCCCCCUGAUGAUCAUCGUAUUUUCUCCCAGAUCCCAAUGAGAUACUUCUGCAUACGUAAGACAGCAGUGGGGAUGGAAGAAAAAAGUUCUUAUAACGUAAAGACACGGGCAAGAAGCAGUGAGUUUUGUUGUGGGUAACUUUGGUAACAUUGCCUUUGUUGAUAUAUCUUAGAAUCCCAGCAUGGCAGGAGUUGGAAGGGACUUCUGGAGAUCACCCAGUCCAACCCCCCCCCGCUAGAG